GGAUAAAACUUGGCUUUUCGUGGACAAGGACCGUGAUCCAGGAGUUAAAUCGCUCCUUUUAAGGCCGUUCUCUCCCAGCCCUGUGAGAAGAGGUAAUUUUGCAAAUUAGCCCAAGAACCCUAAAUGAGUUAACCCCUGUGAAGCAGGAGUACGUCUCGCUCCACCACCAAAGGUUUAGGCCUGCACGUUCCAGACCCUUCUGCUGCCUUCUCCCUCUGGGCCUGUUCACGUCACUCCAGCUCUUCUCCAAGGAGCCGGCUGGGUCUGGCCGGAGACGCUGCCAGCUCCACGGAGCCGUCAGCCUUCAGAGCAGCACCUUGGGCCAGGAAACACGGACAGGGGGAGUUCUGUGUGCGACUAAUGGACCCCAGAUAGAGCCACUCUUCAGUCACUGCCGUCACUUGAAAAUGCAUUUCCAGUUGACAAUAGCCGUCUGCCUAUAGAUAGCUCCACGCAAGAUGGCUGGUCAGGCUGCUCUCCCAGAUGCCUGGGUCAGCAAUUUCCAAAGCAUCCAGUCAGCAGUUCCUGCUUCCUCCAGCAAAGUCUGGCUCUCUCCUCCCAUCUCCCAGUCCCAGGACAGGGUCCGGGCCUAGAGGGGACAGUGGCCGCCCCAAUCCGUUGCCAACAGCAGGCCCCUCUCUCUGCGCUGCCUCCAGGCCCCCAGGACAGGUGACUUGGACCGCGCGGCCCUGGGGCAUAUGCAGCCUGGCUGGGCGGUGCUGA
RNAcentral lists this long non-coding RNA (723 nucleotides) under Sus scrofa (pig). Its description in RNAcentral is "lncRNA (ENSSSCG00070020070.1)". Lineage: Eukaryota; Metazoa; Chordata; Mammalia; Artiodactyla; Suidae. The record is from RNAcentral.